UACGAAGGGGGCUAGCGUUGCUCGGAAUGACUGGGCGUAAAGGGCGCGUAGGCGGAUUGUACAGUCAGGCGUGAAAUUCCCGGGCUCAACCUGGGGGCUGCGCUUGAGACGUGCGAUCUUGAGUGGGGAAGAGGGUCGUGGAAUUCCCAGUGUAGAGGUGAAAUUCGUAGAUAUUGGGAAGAACACCGGUGGCGAAAGCGGCGCACUGGACCAUAACUGACGCUGAUGCGCGAAAGCUAGGGGAGCAAACAGG
Molecule: ribosomal RNA, 253 nt
Filed under: uncultured bacterium
Lineage: Bacteria
Description: partial 16S ribosomal RNA
Rfam family: Bacterial small subunit ribosomal RNA
Source: RNAcentral